This 58-nucleotide transfer RNA is filed under the name Cordylochernes scorpioides. RNAcentral's name for it is "tRNA-Ser". Lineage: Eukaryota; Metazoa; Arthropoda; Arachnida; Pseudoscorpiones; Chernetidae. The record is from RNAcentral.
UGCUUCGGCCGGGAAUCGAACCCGGCAGGUGAGCAUUCUACCACUGAACCACCGAUGA